This 678-nucleotide ribosomal RNA is filed under the name Microbacteriaceae bacterium HP20. RNAcentral's name for it is "bacterial SSU rRNA". It matches the Rfam family "Bacterial small subunit ribosomal RNA", at positions 38 to 730 of the family's 1533-position model. Lineage: Bacteria; Bacillati; Actinomycetota; Actinomycetes; Micrococcales; Microbacteriaceae. The record is from RNAcentral.
GGCGGCGGUGCUUAACACAUGCAAGUCGAACGAUGAAGCCGGAGCUUGCUCUGGUGGAUUAGUGGCGAACGGGUGAGUAACACGUGAGUAACCUGCCCUUGACUCUGGAAUAAGCGUUGGAAACGACGUCUAAUACCGGAUACGAGCUUCCGCCGCAUGGUGAGGAGCUGGAAAGAAUUUCGGUCAAGGAUGGACUCGCGGCCUAUCAGGUAGUUGGUGAGGUAAUGGCUCACCAAGCCUACGACGGGUAGCCGGCCUGAGAGGGUGACCGGCCACACUGGAACUGAGACACGGUCCAGACUCCUACGGGAGGCAGCAGUGGGGAAUAUUGCACAAUGGGCGCAAGCCUGAUGCAGCAACGCCGCGUGAGGGACGACGGCUUCGGGUUGUAAACCUCUMUUAGUAGGGAAGAAGCGAAAGUGACGGUACCUGCAGAAAAAGCACCGGCUAACUACGUGCCAGCAGCCGCGGUAAUACGUAGGGUGCAAGCGUUAUCCGGAAUUAUUGGGCGUAAAGAGCUCGUAGGCGGUUUGUCGCGUCUGCUGUGAAAACUGGGGGCUCAACCCCCAGCCUGCAGUGGGUACGGGCAGACUAGAGUGCGGUAGGGGAGAUUGGAAUCCUGGUGUAGCGGUGGAAUNYGCAGAWUCAGGAGGAACACCGAUGCGAAGGCWGAUCUCU